This 247-nucleotide unclassified non-coding RNA is filed under the name air metagenome. RNAcentral's name for it is "partial contains small subunit ribosomal RNA, internal transcribed spacer 1, and 5.8S ribosomal RNA". The stretch from base 1 to 46 matches the Rfam family "Eukaryotic small subunit ribosomal RNA", at positions 1786 to 1831 of the family's 1831-position model. The record is from RNAcentral.
AAGUCGUAACAAGGUUUCCGUAGGUGAACCUGCGGAAGGAUCAUUACAUAGCGUGCAAUUUGCGCGCGGACACGCCUGGGCUUCGGCCUGGGGGUGCUCUUGUCCUUGCCUGUUUGUACCUUUUGUUGCUUCCUCGGCGGGAGCUUUCCCGCCGCUAGGAACCCCAAAAAACACCUUGCAAUUAGCAAUCUAUUCUGAUAAAAUACCUAAAUCGUUACAACUUUCAACAAUGGAUCUCUUGGUUCUG